UAAGCAGGACGGAUGAUCGCGCCGGCAGGACCCUCCGGGGACCCCGGAAAGGCUGGCGGCGAGGAAAGUCCGGGCUUCACAGGGCAGGAUGCCGGAUAACGUCCGGUGGAGGUGACUCUAAAGGAAAGUGCAACAGAAAGCAAACCGCCAUUUGCCCUUCGGGGCAAAUUGGUAAGGGUGAAAGGGCGGUGUAAGAGACCACCGCGCGCAUGGUAACAUGGGCGGCAUUGCAAACCCCAUCCGAAGCAAGACCAAAAGGAGGGCCAGGAACUUGCCCGGUUCGUCCUCAGGUAGGUCGCUAGAGGCUGUCGGCAACGGCGGUCCCAGAUAGAUGAUCAUCCGGGAGGCAACUCCCGACAGAACCCGGCUUACAGUUCUGCUUACUGU
RNAcentral lists this RNase P RNA (387 nucleotides) under Lachnospiraceae bacterium. Its description in RNAcentral is "RNase P RNA component class A". It matches the Rfam family "Bacterial RNase P class A". Rfam says of the family: Ribonuclease P (RNase P) is a ubiquitous endoribonuclease, found in archaea, bacteria and eukarya as well as chloroplasts and mitochondria. Its best characterised activity is the generation of mature 5'-ends of tRNAs by cleaving the 5'-leader elements of precursor-tRNAs. Lineage: Bacteria; Bacillati; Bacillota; Clostridia; Lachnospirales; Lachnospiraceae. The record is from RNAcentral.